GUGCCAGCAGCCGCGGUAAUACAGAGGGUGCAAGCGUUAAUCGGAAUUACUGGGCGUAAAGCGCGCGUAGGUGGUUUGUUAAGUUGAAUGUGAAAUCCCCGGGCUCAACCUGGGAACUGCAUCCAAAACUGGCAAGCUAGAGUAUGGUAGAGGGUAGUGGAAUUUCCUGUGUAGCGGUGAAAUGCGUAGAUAUAGGAAGGAACACCAGUGGCGAAGGCGACUACCUGGACUGAUACUGACACUGAGGUGCGAAAGCGUGGGGAGCAAACAGGAUUAAUACCCUGGUAGUCC
This 291-nucleotide ribosomal RNA is filed under the name uncultured microorganism. RNAcentral describes it as "partial 16S ribosomal RNA". It matches the Rfam family "Bacterial small subunit ribosomal RNA", at positions 505 to 796 of the family's 1533-position model. The record is from RNAcentral.